GCUUUGUCUGGUAUUCUUCCUCGUCCUGUUGAUUUUGAGGAAACGGGUCAGAAGAUAAAGGAUGUUAAUAUGGCUUUGUUAAAUUUAUGUUUGAGUUAUGAAGUCGAAUUCAUUCAUUCGUAUAGAUAUUUUUUGAAAUGUGGAAAGCCAAAGGUGGAGCUAUUUGCCUAUAAAGAUGGUGGGUUACAUCUCAAUUGUGAAGGUACAAGGCAGUUAGGUUUAUAUUUUAAAAGAAGGGUUGCUCAUUUAAUUUAGAU
Molecule: long non-coding RNA, 257 nt
Filed under: Mytilus galloprovincialis (Mediterranean mussel)
Lineage: Eukaryota; Metazoa; Mollusca; Bivalvia; Mytilida; Mytilidae
Source: RNAcentral